Molecule: ribosomal RNA, 253 nt
Filed under: uncultured bacterium
Lineage: Bacteria
Description: partial 16S ribosomal RNA
Rfam family: Bacterial small subunit ribosomal RNA
Source: RNAcentral
UACGAACCGUGCGAACGUUGUUCGGAAUCACUGGGCUUAAAGGGUGCGUAGGCGGGUUGUCCAGUCCGGGGUGAAAUCCCAAGGCUCAACCGUGGAACUGCCUCAAAUACUGACGACCUUGAGGGAGGUAGGGGCGAGCGGAACUGUGGGUGGAGCGGUGAAAUGCGUUGAUAUCAACAGGAACUCCGGUGGCGAAGGCGGCUCGCUGGACCUCUUCUGACGCUGAGGCACGAAAGCUUGGGGAGCAAACGGG